UACGAAGGGGGCUAGCGUUGUUCGGAAUUACUGGGCGUAAAGGGCGCGUAGGCGGCCGAUCAAGUCAGGCGUGAAAUUCCCGGGCUCAACCCGGGGGCUGCGCUUGAUACUGAUUGGCUUGAAUGCGGGAGAGGAUAGUGGAAUUCCCAGUGUAGAGGUGAAAUUCGUAGAUAUUGGGAAGAACACCAGUGGCGAAGGCGGCUAUCUGGCCCGUGAUUGACGCUGAGGCGCGAAAGCGUGGGGAGCAAACAGG
RNAcentral lists this ribosomal RNA (253 nucleotides) under uncultured bacterium. RNAcentral describes it as "partial 16S ribosomal RNA". It matches the Rfam family "Bacterial small subunit ribosomal RNA", at positions 524 to 776 of the family's 1533-position model. The record is from RNAcentral.